Zingiber officinale is the source of this 362-nucleotide long non-coding RNA. RefSeq lists it as uncharacterized. Lineage: Eukaryota; Viridiplantae; Streptophyta; Magnoliopsida; Zingiberales; Zingiberaceae. The transcript is spliced from 2 exons. The record is from RefSeq and is a predicted model, not a curated record.
UCUCUCAAAACUUGUAGUUCGUUGAAGGAUUUUUUUUUUUUGCGCCCUAAAAUCAUUCCGAAACGAAUCCUUUAGCUCCCUCCGUCGAUGGUCGUCGGCAGCCCUAGCUCCAUUUCCUCUUGAAGUCGAUGGUAGCCAGCAACAAGAAAACUCCGUCCCCUCCCUCCGUCGAUGAUCGACAACACCUCCAGCUCUGUCCCCUCCCGAAAUCGACGACAGCAGCUCUUGCUCGGUGGACGAGAAGAGUGAUAUUUACAUAUCGGAGUUGUUCUUCUAGAACUGGUUACCAGAAGAAAGUCUAUUGGUUAAUUAGGAGAUGAAGUGGAUAUUGUGCAAUGGGUUAAGAAGAUCACAUGCUCUGA